RNAcentral lists this long non-coding RNA (1318 nucleotides) under Sarcophilus harrisii (Tasmanian devil). RNAcentral's name for it is "lncRNA (ENSSHAG00000031922.1)". Lineage: Eukaryota; Metazoa; Chordata; Mammalia; Dasyuromorphia; Dasyuridae. The record is from RNAcentral.
CAGAAAGAGAGAGAGACAGACAGACAGACAGAGACAGAGAGACAAAGACAGAGAGACAGAGACAGAGAAACAGACAGAGAAAUAGAGACAGAGAGAGAGAGAGAGAGAGAGAGAGAGAGAGAGAGAGAGAGAGAGAGAGAGAGAGAGAGAGAGAGGGAGAGAGACAGAGAGAGAAACAGAGAGACAGACAGAAUCAGAGAGAGAGAGAGAAAAGAGAGAAUACUGGCAGAGCAACUUCUGAUGACUAAGCCUGCUACAAAAAGUUGAUUUGCUCCCUUUUUAAACUGGGAUUGUACUCACAUGUAAAAUGGUAGAAUUUCUUGGCAAAGAUACUGAAAUGGUUUGCCAUUUCCUUCCCCAGCUCAUUUUAUAGAUGAGGAAACUGAGGCAAAUAGGGUUAAGUGACUUCCCAGGGUCACACAGCUAACAGGUGUCUGAGGCCAUAGUUGAACUCAGGAAGAUGAUUCUUGACUUCAGACCUAGUACUCUCUCCACUGUAUCACCCAACUGUCUUAGUGCAUAGGAUAAUGUGAUAUUAUCCCCAUGUUGCUGUUCUUCCCUUCUGUUUUUCAACUUCCUCUCUUCUUUCUUCUGUUUUAAUGAUAUAAAUAGCUGGAAAAAAUAGACAAAAGAGUAUGACUAGGGGACAAACUAAUCGAUAUGGGAAUAUAUUAAGAGUCAUAUCAUGUCCCACAUCACCCAGAAUCAUGAUAAUAGAGGAAACAGUCUUGAGGGGGUGUCCUAACCUGGAGCAUAAAUAGACACUAGAAACCACACGAGGAAGAUCUAGAGUGGUUAAGAUCAUGAGCUGAUAUGGAUUUUAUUUGUUUAGGAAGCUAUGAGAAACUACUUUCCCUUCUUGAUUAUGAAUGAUCGUGAAAUGGAGAAUGAAAGUUUCUCCAUCUUUUCUCCUCCAUGAACUGCAGUUAUUGGAGAAACUGUUCAUGUUUGGCCCAUUUAAUGUGACUCCUACAAUGCCUCAGAGGUCACUGAAGUUUGUGUGUAUAAUGAGCUCCUGGUUCUGCUCAUUUCAUCUCCUAAUACAAAUAAAAUAGAAGAAAAAGAAGAUAUUACACUUUCAUGGGACAGUAAAAAUAUAUUUCAGUUUGUCCCAGGAGGACUCCUAUUCUGCCAGUCUACAUUUGACCUGAGGAACAAUUGUUUAUUUAUUGUGAGGAAAUCUUGAGAUCUUGGAAUUUUCUGACCACUAUCUUCCCAGAAUCCUCCUGGGAACUCCUUUUUAAUUUGAAUUCCAGAGCAGAUGUCCAUGGUCUUGAGGCACAUCUUUGGUAAGAGCAUAUGAGUUGUUUUACAUAUG